Encephalitozoon intestinalis ATCC 50506 is the source of this 241-nucleotide non-coding RNA. The record is from RefSeq and is a predicted model, not a curated record. Lineage: Eukaryota; Fungi; Microsporidia; Unikaryonidae.
GGCGGCUGGAAGCUUUCGAUUAGGGGCUCUGCCCUUGGGAAGGUCUGAGAUGAGACACAUUGCCGAAAGGGCAUCUGGUUAAUGCCAGAAAUCGUUCAUAACAGAAAAGUUCACUUCUUCUAUGACCGGAACGGAAUGACUAGAAGGAGUUUGGAAACUGGACGAUGUCUUAGACUCCAAUAGUCCAACUCGAAAGGCAGCUGUUUGUGCUGUAACAGGAUUCAGACUACUCUCCAGCACC